GGGCCCGUAGCUCAGCUUGGUAGAGCGGCGGGCUCUUAUCGCGGAAGUCCCGGGUUCAAAUCCCGGCGGGCCCGCCA
RNAcentral lists this transfer RNA (77 nucleotides) under Ignicoccus pacificus DSM 13166. Its description in RNAcentral is "tRNA-Lys". It matches the Rfam family "tRNA". From Rfam's summary of the family: Transfer RNA (tRNA) molecules are approximately 80 nucleotides in length. Their secondary structure includes four short double-helical elements and three loops (D, anti-codon, and T loops). Lineage: Archaea; Thermoproteati; Thermoproteota; Thermoprotei; Desulfurococcales; Desulfurococcaceae. The record is from RNAcentral.